CAAUAGCGUAUAUUAAAGUUGUUGCGGUUAAAAAGCUCGUAGUUGGAUUUCUGCUGAGGACGAUCGGUCCGCCCUCUGGGUGAGCAUUGACUCGGCCUUGGCAUCUUCUUGGAGAACGCUACUGCACUUGACUGUGUGGUGCGGUAUCCAGGACUUUUACUUUGAGGAAAUUAGAGUGUUUCAAGCAGGCGCACGCCUUGAAUACGUUAGCAUGGAAUAAUGCGACAGGACCUCGGUCCAUUUUGUUGGUUUCUUGGGUUGAGGUAAUGAUUAACAGGGAUGGUUGGGGGCGAUUCGUAUUUAACUGUCAGAGGUGAAAUUCUUGGAUUUGUUAAAGACGAACUACUGCGAAAGCAUUUGCCAAGGAUGUUUUCAUUGAUCAAGAACGAAAGUUAGGGAUCGAAGAUGAUCAGAUACCAU
This 420-nucleotide ribosomal RNA is filed under the name uncultured eukaryote. RNAcentral's name for it is "SSU rRNA". It matches the Rfam family "Eukaryotic small subunit ribosomal RNA", at positions 592 to 1018 of the family's 1831-position model. The record is from RNAcentral.